This 425-nucleotide ribosomal RNA is filed under the name uncultured bacterium. RNAcentral describes it as "partial 16S ribosomal RNA". It matches the Rfam family "Bacterial small subunit ribosomal RNA", at positions 354 to 796 of the family's 1533-position model. The record is from RNAcentral.
GUUAGGAAUAUUGGACAAUGGGCGCAAGCCUGAUCCAGCCAUGCCGCGUGAACGAUGAAGGCCUUCGGGUUGUAAAGUUCUUUAGCCGAUGAUUAUAAUGACUGUAGUCGGAAAAUAAGCCCCGGCUAACUUCGUGCCAGCAGCCGCGGUAAUACGAAGGGGGCGAGCGUUAUUCGGAAUCACUGGGCGUAAAGCGUGCGUAGGCGGUCUCGUAAGUUAGGAGUGAAAGCCCAGGGCUCAACCUUGGAAUUGCUCUUAAAACUGCAAGGCUAGAAUCUCGGAGAGGAUAGCGGAAUUUCCAGUGUAGCAGUGAAAUGCGUAGAUAUUGGAAGGAACACCAGUGGCGUAAGCGGCUAUCUGGACGAGUAUUGACGCUGAGGCACGAAAGCGUGGGGAUCAAACAGGAUUAGAUACCCCUGUAGUCC